UAUUGCAAAAUGGGCGAAAGCCCGAUGCAGCAACGCCGCGUGGGCGAUGAAGGCCUUCGGGUCGUAAAGCCCUUUUUGAGGGGAUGAGGAAGGACAGUACCCUCAGAAUAAGCCUCGGCUAACUACGUGCCAGCAGCCGCGGUAAAACGUAGGAGGCGAGCGUUAUCCGGAUUUACUGGGCGUAAAGCGCGUGCAGGCGGAUUGGAGAGUUGGAUGUGAAAGCUCCCGGCUUAACUGGGAGAGGUCGUUCAAUACUUCCAGUCUUGAGUGCAGUAGAGGGAAGUGGAAUUCCGGGUGUAGUGGUGAAAUGCGUAGAUAUCCGUAGGAACACCAGUGGCGAAAGCGGCUUCCUGGAC
RNAcentral lists this ribosomal RNA (356 nucleotides) under uncultured bacterium. RNAcentral's name for it is "bacterial SSU rRNA". It matches the Rfam family "Bacterial small subunit ribosomal RNA", at positions 362 to 734 of the family's 1533-position model. The record is from RNAcentral.